CUGGCGUUACCGUGACGGUACCUAACGGAAAGCCACGGCUAACUACGUGCCAGCAGCCGCGGUAAUACGUAGGUGGCAAGCGUUGUCCGGAAUUAUUGGGCGUAAAGCGCGCGCAGGCGGUUCCUUAAGUCUGAUGUGAAAGCCCACGGCUCAACCGUGGAGGGUCAUUGGAAACUGGGGGACUUGAGUGCAGAAGAGGAGAGUGGAAUUCCACGUGUAGCGGUGAAAUGCGUAGAGAUGUGGAGGAACACCAGUGGCGAAGGCGGCUCUCUGGUCUGUAACUGACGCUGAGGCGCGAAAGCGUGGGGAGCAAACAGGAUUAGAUACCCUGGUAGUCCACGCCGUAAACGAUGAGUGCUAAGUGUUAGAGGGUAUCCGCCCUUUAGUGCUGUAGCUAACGCAUUAAGCACUCCGCCUGGGGAGUACGCUCGCAAGAGUG
Molecule: ribosomal RNA, 439 nt
Filed under: uncultured Anoxybacillus sp.
Lineage: Bacteria; Bacillati; Bacillota; Bacilli; Caryophanales; Anoxybacillaceae
Description: bacterial SSU rRNA
Rfam family: Bacterial small subunit ribosomal RNA
Source: RNAcentral